RNAcentral lists this unclassified non-coding RNA (391 nucleotides) under uncultured Chytridiomycota. RNAcentral's name for it is "sequence contains ITS1". The stretch from base 1 to 105 matches the Rfam family "5.8S ribosomal RNA", at positions 50 to 154 of the family's 154-position model. The record is from RNAcentral. Lineage: Eukaryota; Fungi; Chytridiomycota.
GAAAUGCGAUAAGUAAUGUGAAUUGCAGAAUUCCGUGAAUCAUUAAAUCUUUGAACGCACAUUGCGCUCUUUGGUAUUCCGAAGAGCAUAUCUGUUUGAGAAUCAGUAUAAACAUCAAAAAAAUAUUUUUUUUUUUAAUUAAAAAUUUGUAUUUUUUUUGAAUUUGAAUUUUUUUCUAAAAUUUAUUUUAGGAAUAAUUUGUAAUAAAUUUGUUGACUUUUUAUUAACAAACAACAAAGCAUGACCAAUAGGGUUUUUUUUAAAAAUUCUUUGAUUGCAUUAUUGUUUUUAAUUAUUUUAUGAAAGUAACUUAAAAAAUUUUUAACACAAAAAAAAAUCUUUUUUUUUAAGACUUGAUCUCAAAUCAGAUAAGACUACCCGCUGAACUUAA